This 137-nucleotide ribosomal RNA is filed under the name Blastocystis hominis. Lineage: Eukaryota; Bigyra; Opalinata; Blastocystidae. The record is from RNAcentral.
UUAUAAAUAUUAAAUCUAUUAAAUAUAAUAUAUAACUCGCUCUUUGAAAAAAAAAUCGAAUUGUUUAAAAUUAUAAAAAUAAUUAAAAAUAUCAAUAAAAUUGAGAAUCAUAAUUAAUUUAGAUUUUUAUAUUUAUA